Molecule: long non-coding RNA, 660 nt
Filed under: Homo sapiens (human)
Lineage: Eukaryota; Metazoa; Chordata; Mammalia; Primates; Hominidae
Description: HSALNT0315514
Source: RNAcentral
GCUGUAACAAGUCAAAUGCAAGGGGAGCUGCUUUGAGAGCCCUCAACUUGCACUGUUCACCUGUCAGGUUUUAUCUUUCAGGGGUCAGCCAAGCCAGUGGGAAGCCUACGACAUUCCCCUGGGUCACUUAGUGAACUCCUACUCUUUCAUCAGGCCUCACUUGAACAUGACUUCCUCCAGAAGCCUUCCCAGACAUCUUUGCCUUCACUGUAUGAACAAUGCCUGAUCAUUCUUCCAGAGGAUGAGAAACCAAAGGGAUCAAAAAGGAGCUGUUCCAGCUGAGCCCUUUAGCUUAGCCAGCUCCCACCUGACCAGCUAUUAAUAGUCGACCAGAGAUGUAUGAAUCAGCAAGUUGAGAUCAGUCCAAAGGAAAGUUGGAUGGCCAUGAAACCAAUAACUUGGUAGUAGAGACAUCAAUGGGUCUAUAAGUCUGUGACUACGUAUGCCAAAUUUUUGUCAAUUUGCAUUGCAAUAAAGGAACACCUGAGGCUGGGUAAAUCAUAAAUAGGUGAUGUGGCUCAAGGUUCUCUAGGAUGUACAAGAAGCAUGGUACCACCAUCUGCUUCUGGUGAGGGCCUCAGGCUGCUUCCACUUACGGCAAAAGGUAAAGAGGAGCAAGCAUUGCAUGAUUGGAAGGAGUAAUGCACAGGAUCAAGAGGA